AAGAGUCCAGGCCUUACGGGGCGCAGCAGGCGCGAAAACUCCGCAAUGGGCGAAAGCCCGACGGGGUUACCCCGAGUGCCACCUUCGUGGUGGCUUUUGCCCGCUUUAAAAAGGCGGGCGAAUAAGGGGAGGGCAAGUCGGGUGUCAGCCGCCGCGGUAAUACCCGCUUCCCGAGUGGUGGAGGUUAUUAUUGGNCUUAAACCGCCCGUAGCCGGCCCGUCAAGUCCUCCUUGAAAGCCUGGGGCUCAACCCGUAGGAGCGGGGGGAUACUGCCGGGCUAGGGGGCGGGAGAGGCNNAGGGUACUCCCGGGGUAGGGGUAAAAUCCUAUAAUCCCGGGAGGACCACCAGUGGCGAAGGCGCUNGGCUAGAACGCGCCCGACGGUAGGGCCGAAAGCGGGG
This 400-nucleotide ribosomal RNA is filed under the name uncultured crenarchaeote. Its description in RNAcentral is "bacterial SSU rRNA". It matches the Rfam family "Archaeal small subunit ribosomal RNA", at positions 310 to 715 of the family's 1478-position model. Lineage: Archaea; Thermoproteati; Thermoproteota. The record is from RNAcentral.